UGGGGAAUAUUGGACAAUGGGCGCAAGCCUGAUCCAGCCAUGCCGCGUGGAUGAUGAAGGCCCUAGGGUUGUAAAGUCCUUUCGACGGGGAAGAUAAUGACGGUACCCGUAGAAGAAGCCCCGGCUAACUUCGUGCCAGCAGCCGCGGUAAUACGAAGGGAGCUAGCGUUGUUCGGAAUCACUGGGCGUAAAGCGCACGUAGGUGGGCAGUUAAGUCAGGGGUGAAAGCCCGAGGCUCAACCUCGGAAUUGCCUCUGAUACUGGCUGUCUAGAGUUCGAGAGAGGUGAGUGGAAUUCCUAGUGUAGAGGUGAAAUUCGUAGAUAUUAGGAAGAACACCGGUGGCGAAGGCGGCUCACUGGCUCGAUACUGACACUGAGGUGCGAAAGCGUGGGGAGCAAACAGGAUUAGAUACCCCUGUAGUCCCUGAGCGGGCUGGCAAGGCGCAU
This 447-nucleotide ribosomal RNA is filed under the name uncultured bacterium. RNAcentral's name for it is "bacterial SSU rRNA". It matches the Rfam family "Bacterial small subunit ribosomal RNA", at positions 355 to 825 of the family's 1533-position model. The record is from RNAcentral.